UUUGGUGAUCAUAGCGCCAAUGAAACACCCGAUCCCAUCCCGAACUCGGCAGUUAAGCAUGGUCGCGCCGAUGGUACUGCAGCU
This 84-nucleotide ribosomal RNA is filed under the name Planktomarina sp. The record is from RNAcentral. Lineage: Bacteria; Pseudomonadati; Pseudomonadota; Alphaproteobacteria; Rhodobacterales; Paracoccaceae.